RNAcentral lists this ribosomal RNA (913 nucleotides) under uncultured archaeon. RNAcentral's name for it is "bacterial SSU rRNA". It matches the Rfam family "Archaeal small subunit ribosomal RNA", at positions 1 to 922 of the family's 1478-position model. The record is from RNAcentral.
UCCGGUUGAUCCCGCCGGAGGCGACCGCUAUUGGAAUUCGAUUAAGCCAUGCGAGUCGAGAGUCUUAGGGACUCGGCGUACCGCUCAGUAACACGUGGGUAACCUGCCCUGUGCUGGGGAAUAACCUCGGGAAACUGAGAAUAAUGCCCCAUAGUUCACUACGCCUGGAACGGUGGGUGGAUCAAAGCUCCGGCGGCACAGGAUGGGCCUGCGGCGUAUCAGGUUGUAGGGGGUGUAACGUACCCUCUAGCCUUCAACGCGUACGGGUUGUGGGAGCAAUCGCCCGGAGAUGGAUUCUGAGACACGAAUCCAGACCCUACGGGGUGCAGCAGGCGCGAAAACUUCACACUGCAGGAAACUGUGAUGAGGGAAUUCCAAGUGGCUAGACAAAGUCUAGUCUUUUUGUAACUUUUAAUCGGUUACAGAAUAAGGGGUGGGAAAGACCGGUGCCAGCCGCCGCGGUAAUACCGGCACCUCAAGUGGUCGUCGCUUUUAUUGGGCCUAAAACGUCCGUAGCCGGUUUGGUACAUUCGUGGGUAAAUCAGCUCGCUCAACGAGUUGAAUUCUGCGAGGACGGCCAGACUAGGGACCGGGAGAGGUGUGGGGAACUCUCAGGGUAGGGGUAAAAUCCUGUCAUCCUGAGAGGACCACCUGUUGCGAAGGCGCCACACUAGAACGGAUCCGACGGUCAGGGACGAAGCCUAGGGGCACGAACCGGAUUAGAUACCCGGGUAGUCCUAGGUGUAAACGCUGUGGACUUGGUGUUGGGGAAGCCCAGAGCUUUCCCAGUGCCGUAGCGAAGGUGUUGAGUCCACUGCCUGGGGAGUACGGUCGCAAGGCUGAAACUUAAAGGAAUUGGCGGGGGAGCACUGCAACCGGAGGAGUGUGCGGUUUAAUUGGAUUCAACGCCGGG